CUGAAAUCAACUGGACCCAGCCUGUGGCAGGAAGCAUUUGGGCAUACACAGCCUGGGGGAGUUACGCCAGGGCUGCCCCACCUCCCGGGGAUUAAGGAAACAGGAAAGAGGUGGUGGGAAGGAGCAGGGCACCUUAGGCAGAGACACGAUGGUCUCCCUCCUCCAGAACCAGGCUUGCUUCUCUUCUUCUUACAUUGCGCGAUGGGGGGCACCACCAGGACUGGCAUGGUCUCAUCCAAUACAGGUCCAGAUGUCAACAACACAGACAAGUUAGUGGAAAUCAACAGCACAGAAACAACAACAGUGACCCCAGGAGGACCGACCACCUCAGAGAGAAUCUUUGGGAGUACUCGACUCUAUGAGAAUUCAGCCGUCACCUACACUUCCUCGAAAUCCAAAACAUCUCUAGCUUCUGAGACCUUGGCACCAGCCGGAACUGCCUACAAAGCUGAGACUAAGAUAGCCGAGUCUUUUUCCCCAGUGGAGACACUCAUGAUAACGGAUGCCCUGGAUAAAAUGGAGACUACAACACUACUGGAGAGCACUAACCCCACCACUGCCUCUGUUACAGUCAUCUCAGAAUCAGGGACAGCCAUAGACAAGACCCGCAGCCAGGCUAAAACUUUGACAAUAGCCUCUUCUACUACAGAAGCAGAGGUAGACACAACGGAAUCUCUUGCCUCAGCUGAAACUUGGCGUAGGAUGAGCAUCUUCUGCAAAGUAGUCUGGAAAUCAUUAAUAGAGCCACCCCUGCUUCCUCUUCCACCCCCCACCAAAAGCAUGGAAAACAUAGACAUCAUCCCAAAGAACACCAUGACUACUUACAGUCUGUGACAGACUACCCCUGGACUUCUCCUUUGAACAGUAGCAUCCCAGAAAACUAUGAAACCGGCAUCAAAACUUCCAUUUUCACUGAGGCCAUGACCACAACUGACACUUCCACAGAAUCAGAGAUCUCAAACCCUUUUAGGACCAUUAUCCUUGAGGAGACCUCUGGAAUAAUGAUACCACCAGGAAAAGAGACUGUCAUUGUAGAAGAAAUAUUACCCUUUACACUCCUGGAUGAGUUCACUGAGAUAGUAGAUACAGCCGGCAACACCUUAGAAAGAGAAGGGACCCCAAUCAAGACCACAACCCUCCCUGGGACUUUGACUACAGCCAGUCCUAUUACAGAAGCCACCAUGCUGACAAGCAACCUCAUUGAUACCUUCCCUAUAGCUGACAGCACCCAAGAAAUAAAGACCACCACUGCUGUAGCCUUGUCCAUGGCCUAUACCAAUACAGAAGCAGAGACUACUAGCCCUGAGAUAGACACCUCUGCUGAGCCUUUAGAUGUAGCUGGCAAUAACUUACAGCCAAAGACCAUAGGUGAAAAAACAACCUUAACUGGUGACAUCACAGAAACAAUUGGGACUAGAGCUAAGACCACCAUUUUUUCUGGGUCCUCAAUGACAAUCGACAGCUCUACAGAAGAAGGGACUUCAGUCUUCUUAAAGACUGAUUUCUUUUCUGAAACAUCAGCUUCAUCUUCCUCAGCUGAAGAUGAGUUGAGCUCAGCUGUUGAGACCUUGACAACAACCAACACCAUCACCAUGGCAGUGUCAACCACAGCUGAAACUCCUAAUGCAGCUGAGACCCUUGGUACCACAGGUCACACUGUAGAAACUACAGGCGAAAUGGCAACAGACACCUUGAAUACAAUUUACAUUCCCACCACGGAAGAAGCCACAGCUCCGACUGAGACAGCUGUCUUCCCUGAGGUCCCAAGUACAGUUAUGAUCUCCAAGUUCACUACCCCUGGUGAGUUUUCAGACAAAGUCUAUACCACCACCGAAGGGACAACAGCCCCAGGAAUAAAUUCCUCCGGAGACAAGACUUUAACCUCAGGCAAGACCCCAGCAAUAGUCUCAACAAUAGGAAAGCAUACUGUCACUGCCCUGAUGAACCAAAACACCAAUGCUAAUUCCCGUCACGAUGGAGGCUUUCUCCUCCUUCGGCUGAUUGUGUCCUCCUCCCUGGACCUCACUGAUCAUAAGGUGGCAAAGGAGCUCCUGCAUAAGCUUCAUCAGGAUCUGCAGGUACAAGUCCCCUACACCCAAAUCUCUUUGAUGAAGGUCACCAAGUAUUGAAGAGUUUUUAUUAGCAGCCUGGAGAGUGACUUCAGUAAAGAGAAGAUAAUGCUGCUAAUAAUCUACGUCUCCACAAGCAGGAUUGCAGGCCACAUUGCUGGGCAAAGGUGUUCGUGGAAGGUCCUAACAGAAGCCAUCCUCUUUAACCCCCACCUCUGCAUAGAACAGCACAGCUGUUGCCCCAUACAGCUGGGGGACUUACCCUGGGGGUCCUGGGCAGAAGACCAAAGAUACUUCCUUGAGCACAUAUAUGAGCAUUUUAAUAAAGGGCUAUUUUUCCCCCA
This is a long non-coding RNA of Phascolarctos cinereus (koala), 2413 nucleotides long. NCBI's taxonomy places the organism in Eukaryota, Metazoa, Chordata, Mammalia, Diprotodontia, Phascolarctidae. The record is from Ensembl.